AAGCCUUGCCCACACAGGAGCAAGGAGGGACGAAGCUCUGCGAGUGCCAUGGCCCGGUGGAAGCCAGACGGAACCCAUUUGUGAUGUGCUGAGGUAUGGUUUGCAGAGCUCUCUGUAGGAAGUAGUCCAGCAGGGUGCCGAUGCAAACAUCUGACCUUCGGUUCCUGAUGAAUGCCUUCGUGCAAGGUGGCAUUGCGGUGCAGAACAGAAGAGAUCAGGAAGGGGAAACGUUGAGUGAAGAAGAAGAAAUCUUAGCUGUGCAAACCCUCCUCCAGGAGAAAGGACUUCAAGCACUGCUCUCUGCCCAACUUCAGUAUCACUGAGCUGAGUGGAGGGAAUACCCAUGCAUCAAUCUUUUCAGCAUCCUGGAGAUAUUGAUGUACUUGCCUAUCUGGUUUAGCUACACAUACAAGUUUCCACCAACAAGCAAAAUAAAACUCUGGAAUUACAGAAGUUCUGUGUUGUUUGAUGGGCAGGCCAGGAUUCUGAUAUUAAUUCAGUGAAAAAUACACCUUAAGCAUUCUUGUGACUCUCACUGGACUGUCAAGAUGUAUGGCAAGAGGUAACUGGACAGUAGGUCCAAAGUGUCUUUUUUCCAUAUUAGAUUUUUUGACAAUAAUUAAUAACCGUGAUAUUUGUUAAGCACGUAACAAAUGGGCCGGGGACUGUCAGUUCUUAAUAGAACAGUUGGAGAGUUCCAAAGUAGAUUCACUGUGAAAAUAUACCUUGUAAAAUUACUUGAAUCAAAAGUUUAAGAAUUGUCUUGGUUCUGAAACAUGCAGAAUAUUACUGGUAAUAAAUAGACAAGAUGAGG
Ornithorhynchus anatinus (platypus) is the source of this 814-nucleotide long non-coding RNA. RefSeq lists it as uncharacterized. The record is from RefSeq and is a predicted model, not a curated record. Lineage: Eukaryota; Metazoa; Chordata; Mammalia; Monotremata; Ornithorhynchidae. The transcript is spliced from 2 exons.